RNAcentral lists this ribosomal RNA (468 nucleotides) under uncultured bacterium. RNAcentral's name for it is "partial 16S ribosomal RNA". It matches the Rfam family "Bacterial small subunit ribosomal RNA", at positions 28 to 507 of the family's 1533-position model. The record is from RNAcentral.
GACGAACGCUGGCGGCGUGCUUAACACAUGCAAGUCGAACGGAAAGGCCCUGCUUUUGUGGGGUGCUCGAGUGGCGAACGGGUGAGUAACACGUGAGUAACCUGCCCUUGACUUUGGGAUAACUUCAGGAAACUGGGGCUAAUACCGGAUAGGAGCUCCUGCUGCAUGGUGGGGGUUGGAAAGUUUCGGCGGUUGGGGAUGGACUCGCGGCUUAUGCGCUUGUUGGUGGGGGAGUGGCUUACCAAGGCGUUGACGGUUAGCCGGCCUGAGAGGGUGAACGGCCACCAUGUGCCUGCGAUACGGCCCAGAGGGCUACAUGAGGCAUCGGUGGAGAACAUUGCCCAAUGGGCGGAAGCCUGGUACAACGUCGCCGCGUGUGGAAUGUCGGUCUUCGGGGUAUAAAGCGCGUUAGCCUGUGACGUAGCGUGUGUGACGGUAACUUAUAAAGAAGCACCGGCUAACUACGUG